This 467-nucleotide ribosomal RNA is filed under the name uncultured bacterium. RNAcentral's name for it is "partial 16S ribosomal RNA". It matches the Rfam family "Bacterial small subunit ribosomal RNA", at positions 28 to 507 of the family's 1533-position model. The record is from RNAcentral.
GACGAACGCUGGCGGCGUGCUUAACACAUGCAAGUCGAACGGAAAGGCCCCUUUUGGGGGGUACUCGCGUGGCGCGGGGGUGUGUAACACGUGAGUAACCUCCCCCCGACUUUGGGAUAUCUUCCGGAGACAGGGGCUAAUAUCGGAUAGGAGCCCCCGCCGCCGGGUGGGGGUUGGAAAGUUUCGGCGGUUGGGGAUGGGCUCGCGGCUUAUCAGCUUGUUGGUGGGGUAGUGGCCUACCAAGGCUUUGACGGGUAGCCGGCCUGGGAGGGUGACCGGCCACAUUGGGACUGAGAUACGGCCCAGACUCCUACGGGAGGCAGCAGGGGGGAAUAUUGCACAAUGGGUGGAAGCCUGAUGCAGCAACGCCGGGUGCGGGAUGACGGCCUUCGGGUUGUAAACCCCUUUCGCUCAGGACGAAGCCUUGUGUGACGGUACCGGGAGAAGAAGCACCGGCUAACUACGUG